GCCCAGCCAGUAUGGUGGAUAUGACCCUCGGUUUGUAACCGAGUGGGUUUGGGUUCGACUCCCGAGUAGGGCA
RNAcentral lists this transfer RNA (73 nucleotides) under Trichonephila inaurata madagascariensis. RNAcentral describes it as "tRNA-Thr". Lineage: Eukaryota; Metazoa; Arthropoda; Arachnida; Araneae; Nephilidae. The record is from RNAcentral.